GUUAAUGUAGCUUAAUACAAAGCAAAGCACUGAAAAUGCUUAGAUGGACCCUAAUAAGUCCCAUAAACA
This is a non-coding RNA of Phascolarctos cinereus (koala), 69 nucleotides long. The record is from Ensembl. Lineage: Eukaryota; Metazoa; Chordata; Mammalia; Diprotodontia; Phascolarctidae.